Molecule: ribosomal RNA, 497 nt
Filed under: uncultured bacterium
Lineage: Bacteria
Description: partial 16S ribosomal RNA
Rfam family: Bacterial small subunit ribosomal RNA
Source: RNAcentral
GAUGAACGCUGGCGGCGUGCCUAAUACAUGCAAGCCGAGCGAACGGACGAGAAGCUUGCUUCUCUGAUGUUAGCGGCGGACGGGUGAGUAACACGUGGAUAACCUACCUAUAAGACUGGGAUAACUUCGGGAAACCGGAGCUAAUACCGGAUAAUAUUUUGAACCGCAUGGUUCAAAAGUGAAAGACGGUCUUGCUGUCACUUAUAGAUGGAUCCGCGCUGCAUUAGCUAGUUGGUAAGGUAACGGCUUACCAAGGCAACGAUGCAUAGCCGACCUGAGAGGGUGAUCGGCCACACUGGAACUGAGACACGGUCCAGACUCCUACGGGAGGCAGCAGUAGGGAAUCUUCCGCAAUGGGCGAAAGCCUGACGGAGCAACGCCGCGUGAGUGAUGAAGGACUUCGGAUCGUAAAACUCUGUUAUUAGGGAAGAACAUAUGUGUAAGUAACUGUGCACAUCUUGACGGUACCUAAUCAGAAAGCCACGGCUAACUACGUG